RNAcentral lists this ribosomal RNA (165 nucleotides) under uncultured bacterium. Its description in RNAcentral is "partial 16S rRNA". It matches the Rfam family "Bacterial small subunit ribosomal RNA", at positions 355 to 511 of the family's 1533-position model. The record is from RNAcentral.
UAGGGAAUCUUCGGCAAUGGGGGCAACCCUGACCGAGCAACGCCGCGUGAGUGAAGAAGGUUUUCGGAUCGUAUAGCUCUGUUGUAAGAGAAGAACGUGUGUGAGAGUGGAAAGUUCACACAGUGACGGUAACUUACCAGAAAGGGACGGCUAACUACGUGCCAG